CAGGGGUAGAGAGAAUUUCCCAGGGUAGCGGUGAAAUUGCGUAGAGAUUGAGAAGAACACAGGUGGCGAGAGCGCUCUAGUGGAGUGGCACCUGACCCUCAGAGGACGAAAGCUAAGGUAGCGAAAGGGAUGAGAUACCCCUGUAGUAUUAGCCGUAAACGAUAGAUACUAGGCGUGGUUUGUAUCGACGCAAGCCGUGCCGAAGCUAACGCGUUAAGUAUCCCGCCUGGGGGAGUACGCACGCAAGUGUGAAACUCAAAGGAAUUGACGGGGGCCCGCACAAGCGGUGGAGGAUGUGGUUUAACUCGAUGCAACGCGAAGAACCUUACCAGGGCUUGACAUCCCGCGAAUCUUGCUGAAAGGUGAGAGUGCCUUCGGGAGCGUGGAGACAGGUGGUGCAUGGCUGUCGUCAGCUUGUGUCGUGAGAUGUUGGGUUAAGUCCCGCAACGAGCGCAACCCUCGUCCUUAGUUGCCAGCAUUAAGUUGGGCACUUUAGGGAGACUGCCGGUGACAAACCGGAGAAAGGGGAGGAUGACGUCAAGUCAGCAUGCCCCUUAUGCUCUGGGCGACACACGUCCUACAAUGGUCGGGACAAAGGGGAGCAAGCUCGCGAGAGUAAGCGAAUCCCAGCAAACUCGGCCUCAGUUCAGAUUGCAGGCUGCAACUCGCCUGCAUGAAGGAGGAAUCGAUAGUAAUCGCAGGUCAGCAUACUGCGGUGAAUUCGUUCCCGGGCCUUGUACACACCGCCCGUCACACCAUGGAAGCUGGCCAAGCCCGAAGUCGUUACCCUAACCGUUUGGAGGGGGGCGCCGAAGGCUGGGCUAGUGACUGGGGUGAAGUCGUAACAA
RNAcentral lists this ribosomal RNA (848 nucleotides) under uncultured organism. Its description in RNAcentral is "bacterial SSU rRNA". It matches the Rfam family "Bacterial small subunit ribosomal RNA", at positions 652 to 1494 of the family's 1533-position model. The record is from RNAcentral.